Long non-coding RNA from Triticum aestivum (bread wheat), 646 nucleotides. RefSeq lists it as uncharacterized. The transcript is spliced from 3 exons. The record is from RefSeq and is a predicted model, not a curated record. Lineage: Eukaryota; Viridiplantae; Streptophyta; Magnoliopsida; Poales; Poaceae.
GGUUCUUAAUUCGCCUAAGAAAAGGUGGUUCUCAAUCGCUGGAAUAGAAACGUACGGCGUUCAGAUCUACGGGAGUUUCACACGCGUUUAUGGCCUGUGUGACCGCCUUGACCAGCCGAAGCCGCCGCGCCGCCGACUGCGGCUGUAGGCUGCGCAUACGUGACAUCCCCCCGGCGAUCAGCCUCGAUCCGCGCUGCACACGCCGGCCGGCCGGCUCGCCAUCCCCACUGAAGAAGCUGUACUGAUUAAUCAUUCAAUCAAGGCAAGCUAAUGUACCAAUUUUUCGCAAAAUCCAUGGCGUAAUAUGCCUGAAAUAGUUGAUCUGAACAAGCUUACUCAGGAUCCAUCGAAAAGGAAGAUACUUACAGAUUUUAGUGUCAAAUAGCAUGAGGAGAUUUGGAAAAAUCGUCGCUGGAUGAAACGGAAGGAGGCUAAAAAGGAACGUAGGAACAAAAGAAAUCGACAUAUUCAAGUUUCACAAUUUAUUCUUUCGUAAGUGGUGGUUUACUUUUACUUUUGGCAAUCAACUUGUCAUAAUUAUGUGUGUGCUGACAUUAUCUUAUAAAGAAAUAUAUGAUUUUGAUUCUUAUGGACUAUAUGUAUGCUUGUGCGCUUGAUUUUUAAAAGAUUUAGGCACUAGUUUGUA